RNAcentral lists this small RNA (40 nucleotides) under Licmophora paradoxa. RNAcentral's name for it is "partial Mitochondrion-encoded tmRNA". The record is from RNAcentral. Lineage: Eukaryota; Bacillariophyta; Fragilariophyceae; Licmophorales; Licmophoraceae.
AGGGUCGGUCUUUGGUAUUUCCACUGAUAAAAUGUGGGAA